UCGAAAAAAACGAAAUAUUUAUUAAUGAUUGAAUAUACAAGAUUAAAAACGAAAGAGCGCGAAAUAAUGAAAAAAUAUCAAUAAUGAAGAAUAUUUGCAACCUCUGAUGGAAUGGUUUCGAAUAAAAAGGCAAAUUAUGUUGAACUAAGCUACAACACAGUUCGAUACAGAAAUUCUUGCGAAGAAGUAAGAAAUUAAAAAGAAUCGAUUGGGAAAAGCUGCAGACAAUUGUUUAUACUAAAAGGUGUUACGAUAUAUUAUGCAUUUAAUGAUGAUAUUUCUAACAUGUUUAUGAUUGUCGAUUUAACUACCAAUUACUUGUUGAUUACGUACACGUUCAGUGAUCGAUCAUAUUCCCAUAUCACCAUUACAUAAUUCUUACAUUAUCAUUAUGCAACAGUUACAUUAUCAAUGCAUAUUGGUUACGACUCUACCCAUUGAUUGUAUAUCAAUUUUAAUCAAUUUCGUUACGAAUUAUAUCCUGAAAAAUGACUAGUUUUGUAAUUUUAAUUUUAAAAGAAAUUUCAAUCAACAGAUUAUAUAAAACAUUAAUUCGAAUAUCUCGCUCGAAAUAUAUUUGAUCUAAUAAGUAUUUAAAAUAUGAUAUUUUCAGGAAAGAACAAAAUCCAAGUAAAUUUCCAGGUGCCUGAGGAGAACACGUUGACGAGAUACAGGAUCGUUGUAAACGUAACAAGGUUGCAAGCGAUGCAAGGAAAAGUGCAGCGAGGAACGAAUAGUUGGUCGUUUCGCCGAGAAGGCUCGGUGAAAGGGACUCGCGGCCAGUCUGGCCGAUUUUGCGUUCAAGGAGAAUUCUGUGUUCCGAAGGUUCGCGACUGCUCAAUCGCGAUCGACCAAUUUUUCCGAUUUUCUCGCUAAAUACCUGUAGAUAAAGCAACUUCGAUAAAAUCUAAUUCAAUUCGUGCAACUAUGCUUUAUGACGUCGGCCUAAUCAAUUCGCCUUCAAAUAAAAAGAAUCAGAGAAACAUUAAGGCUUUGCAAAAAGUUAAAAAGUAUCGUAGUAGGUGGGUAUCUAGAAAUUGUAGUGUAGAACAAUGUAAACUUAUUCUUAUAGGUGUGUUACAAUUAUUGGUUUAGAAAUUAUUUAUUGCAAAUUAUUUUUGAAAUUUGUCUUUAUUGAGAAUUUAUCGAUCGCAACGAUAUCUUAAAAAUUUUUCUUAACUUUCUGAUAAUGCCUUUUGCAAUAGUUUCAGAUUUCUUCAUUAAAAUGAAUUUAUAGCACUUUCUAUUGCGCUCUGUUGUUUGCACUGAUCUCCAGAUAUCCAACGUUAUCUUGAAUCUAUCUGAUCGCAAAGAAUAAGUUGAAAGGAUACGGCACGAAUUCUUCAGCUAUGUCGUUGAAUAAAGCAGGUCGUCCUAUGUCUAGAUGCAAUCGCAACUAUAAUUCCAGCACGAUUUUUUCAAGUUGACGAGCUACGGGGGAAAGAUUUGAAUUAUGUAUCUGGUAUCGAGAUACAGUAGGGAUUAUGUAAUGGUAAUGGAAUUAUUUUAGUUGAAUAGGCAGGACAUUGUAAAGGAUUUAUUCUGAAUCAUGAAAAAAUUAAUCUUAGAAUUAGGUAUCAUUCUUUUAAAAAAAUAUCCAAAAGUAUCGUACGUGUUCUAAAACACAGCAAUGGUCAAUAAUAUAAUUAAUUAACGGUAGUAAAUAAUUUUUGUACACAUAGUAGUUUCUACUUUAAUUUACUUAACUCUGUGGUAUGCUUAUUAUUAUUUUUAGUAUUAUAUGUGGUAUGCUGUGUAUGUUAGAACAUUCAAGCAAAGCUGUUAAUGAAUCGGUUGUAUUAGUCGGUAGUAUCAGUAAAUCAGUAAUAGUUAUAAUAAUAAGAAUCCCCUGUUCCAGUUAACCCGCAGCUUAGCGGAAAAUGCGAGAAAAUUAUAAGCUUUCACUUAUCGCUCUUUAUUAGAAACGAAUGUAGGUUAAUGACCUGUUACUACUUACACAAGUAACUUUUCAAUGCUUGUUUUAGAAAACUGUUUUAUGUUAAAAUCUUAUAAUCGUAUUAUUCAAAAUUAUUUAAAAAUUGUCAAAUUAUUAUUAAACUUUGUCAAUUGCUUCCUAAGAUAGGCGAAUGAGAUAAAUGAAUUAUUAUUAUUUUCUAUUUAUUAAGAUCUAAAUAUCUUACCAAGCACAUCAUUCCAUUACGCUUAAAGGACCCCCGUUCAUUAUGAUAGAAAAUAAUUUCUACAACUUUCACAACAUAGUUUCUAGACUUCCACAUGCAUCCAAACCCUAUAAUAUAAACUAUAUUAUCAACUUCAAUAUAUCAAGUUUGGAGACAUUAAAUUCUAUGUAAAAGCUCGUUUAACUCCCAGGCAGCAAAGACUGGGUCAAUACUGACUCAUAUAGAUAUUUCAUGUUUAUUAGAUACUUUCUAUAUUACAUUUACGUAUUCUGUUCUAUUAAACUGUUAGGUUGAGUAAUACAUUCAUUCACGUUUCCUUAAAAGAACGUCGAACGUUAUUAGUAUAAAAUCUACCUAAUUAAAGAGUAACUUUUUCAUUCUAUUUCUUUAUUUUAUACCUUUUAUGAAAAAAAUUCAAAUACGUUCCUUUUCACGUUCUUUAAGUAGUUUUUAUUAUAUUUUUCGAAAAUGGACUAGCAUUAAUAAUUUAUUUAAUUUUCAGCCUCAUAGCCUAGGAAAUGUGAACUUGGUUUACAUAGUCUUCUACUCAACACACAUACCCGUACAAUUAUUCACUCGUCUUUCUCAUCCUUCCAUAACUCCAUUCAUAACAUUUAUCCACCUAACUCUAUUCAGAUGACUCUAUUUCGAACGCUUACUCCUUACUCUAGCCUCUGCUAUUCGCUUUAGAACUAUCCUAAUCCCUCCAUUUAUCCUCUACUUCAUUGCAUCUGCUUUUCUUUUCUCCCGCCCUCGUCCUUUUCCUUCCUCAUUCCUACAAUACUGCUCCUUUCCACCAUUCCACCACGCGUUACUCCCUUCUAUCGUACAGAACUUUUUCCACGUUUAAAUUUACUGUUUGCACACCUGUAUAGUUCUCUACUAAGUAUUUUAUCGUUAUAUAUAUUCCUUCGGUAUAUCCUACACAGUGUGUCCUGCUCCUUUCUCCAAUACCUAUUUCCUUCUUCCAUAUUUUCACAUCUUGCUCUUACCAUAAGGUUCUAGCUUCCCCUUGUACCAACCUCCAUAAAGUGGGAUGCUCACCACCGUAUAAAUACCUGUACAAUAUAUGAUACUCAGAGUUUCUUAUUUUACUGUACUGCGACUGUUUUUGGUUCGGUAUCUCUCAGCCAAAAAGGAAGAAUAAAUGCUUGUUUACAAUGCAUCUUACAAUAGCAAAUAGCAAAUUAGAAUUCGAAACAAUUAGAGUGUUAAUUUCUUUUUGAAGUCUAUUAUUUUCUGAAUCAAUCAGAGCUUCAUUAUAUCGAUAAAAGUGGUGGGUGUUAAAUCCAGGCCAUUAGUGUUUAUAGUCGACUACAUUGUCCACGUAAAUCGCCUAUAGUAAGUCACUGUAUGAAAUUCUAAUAGCGACUAUGAUAUACAAAUAUAAGUAUCCCUACUAGAUAAGGCUAAUACACGAUACAAAACCAACUUUUCCUAUGUACCACAAGAGCAAAGUUUCACAAGUAUAAUGCUUCGCGAAAGUAUCCGGAAUGUUUGGCAUAGAAAAGUUUUACGAACACAGUCAGCUUUCUAUAUUGUACAUUAACUUUUUACUAAAUACAUGUUAAUAGUAAGUACCCUGUAAUUUCUACAUCAAUUCUCAGAUUCGUUCCAAAUUUCACGAAUAAAAUCAUUCACAGUCGUAACUCGCUACGAUAUAAAUGAAAUUUGCGAAGACGUUUUAUGUAAUACACAUAAUACAGUGGCUGCAAAAAAUACUAGCACGCCACUGUGUUUAUUAUAGGAAUUAUAUACUGAUUAAUUAGCUCCGAGUAUAUUAAAUUUCUAUAAAAAUUUCGCAGGACCUCAUGAAAAAUCAUUUCAUUAGAAACUAAGGAUACGUGUAAAGACUUUUUGUAUAUACCGUGUGUACGUAAAAAUUUGCUAUGGUAAGCGUUCGAAUAGUUUUAUGAGUCGCUGUAUACAAUAUACGUUGUAUGUAGUUGGCACGGAAAAUACUAUUCCUUCCAAGGAAUUUCAAAGCGCGCGAAGGGAAAAAGCGCACCACGUUUGAAAGAGGAGAAUGCCCGGCGUUAAGUGCAAGACGGUGAGCGAGAGAUUAGCUCGAUCGGUAAGAGAGGAAGAAAAAAAUGGGAGGUACCUUUCACUCGGGCACUCUCCGAGUAGCAGACCGCGGAAACUUUUUGCUUUCGCGUACGAUUCCCCUCGAAAACCGCAACGAGCAACGUCGUUGCUCGAAUGCGGUUCCGCGUUCGUUCCGCAACGCUGUGCAACUUCCCAUAUGUUAUCGAACACUGAACGUGUGUCUCAUUAGGUGCGCGUCGCCAUUACAGCCUCUAGACCUCACAGGAAUAUUCGAUUAAUUGUGUGUGUCCACUCAAACGAACCAAGAUCGAUAUAUAAGCAAGAUUAUCCUUAUUUACUUAUUUGUCGAUUUGCCUGAGACCUUUUUAAUUAAAAUAGCUGUCUAUGUUAUUGUACUAGAGUGUAACAUAUCCGAUUGGUGAUGUAAUAUGGUUUUUUCGAUCCUUUACCGACUGUACGAUGGUUAAUGUUACAUACAUCGUAGAAGUUACACGUCAGCAGCCGUUUAGCUGCUGCCACUGGCAAGGCAAAGAUAUAACGCAAGAUUGUGGGUAUUGUGCAAUAGGUGGUAGACUACGGAUUUUGAUAUAUUUAUGGGAAAUUUGAGGAUGCAAAGGUACACGGAAUACACAUAAUACGGAUAUUGUAUAGAACACGCUGCGCUUAAGCUCCGUUCUUCGUAACUGUGCCCAUAAAGAUGUAAAUUUGCAUAAAUAUCUGCUAGUAGUAAAUAUAAAAGCAGAAUGAAUUUAUAAUA
Long non-coding RNA from Bombus huntii, 4947 nucleotides. RefSeq lists it as uncharacterized. Lineage: Eukaryota; Metazoa; Arthropoda; Insecta; Hymenoptera; Apidae. The record is from RefSeq and is a predicted model, not a curated record. The transcript has 2 exons.